CCUACGGGAGGCAGCAGUAAGGAAUAUUGGACAAUGGGCGAAAGCCUGAUCCAGCCAUGCCGCGUGAAGGAUUAAGGUCCUCUGGAUUGUAAACUUCUUUUAUGUGGGACGAAAAAAGGGCAUUCUUGCUCACUUGACGGUACCAUUUGAAUAAGCACCGGCUAACUCCGUGCCAGCAGCCGCGGUAAUACGGAGGGUGCAAGCGUUAUCCGGAUUCACUGGGUUUAAAGGGUGCGUAGGCGGGUAGGUAAGUCAGUGGUGAAAUCUCGAAGCUUAACUUCGAAACUGCCAUUGAUACUAUCUAUCUUGAAUAUUGUGGAGGUUUGCGGAAUAUGUCAUGUAGCGGUGAAAUGCUUAGAUAUGACAUAGAACACCGAUUGCGAAGGCAGCAGGCUACACAUAUAUUGACGCUGAGGCACGAAAGCGUGGGGAUCAAACAGGAUUAGAUACCCUGGUAGUCCACGCCCUAAACGAUGAUUACUCGACAUACGCGAUACACUGUGUGUGUUNUGAGNGAAGANAUAAGUAAUACACCGNGGAGUACGUCCGCGAGAGAGAACGUACAAUAGAGUAGACGGCGNGAGACGNGCCGACGGACGACGACGAGGGAGGUUAGG
RNAcentral lists this ribosomal RNA (617 nucleotides) under uncultured bacterium. RNAcentral describes it as "bacterial SSU rRNA". The stretch from base 1 to 535 matches the Rfam family "Bacterial small subunit ribosomal RNA", at positions 338 to 873 of the family's 1533-position model. The record is from RNAcentral.